CCUACGGGGCGCAGCAGUGGGGAAUUUUGGACAAUGGGCGCAAGCCUGAUCCAGCUAUUCCGCGUGUGGGAUGAAGGCCCUCGGGUUGUAAACCACUUUUGUAGAGAACGAAAAGACACCUUUUAAUAAAGGGUGUUGCUGACGGUACUCUAAGAAUAAGCACCGGCUAACUACGUGCCAGCAGCCGCGGUAAUACGUAGGGUGCGAGCGUUAAUCGGAAUUACUGGGCGUAAAGGGAGCGCAGGCGGGUGAGUAAGAAAGAUGUGUAAUCCACGAGCUUAACGCGGGAA
This 290-nucleotide ribosomal RNA is filed under the name uncultured bacterium. RNAcentral describes it as "partial 16S ribosomal RNA". It matches the Rfam family "Bacterial small subunit ribosomal RNA", at positions 338 to 620 of the family's 1533-position model. The record is from RNAcentral.